RNAcentral lists this ribosomal RNA (252 nucleotides) under uncultured bacterium. RNAcentral describes it as "partial 16S ribosomal RNA". It matches the Rfam family "Bacterial small subunit ribosomal RNA", at positions 524 to 776 of the family's 1533-position model. The record is from RNAcentral.
UACGGAGGAUCCAAGCGUUAUCCGGAUUUAUUGGGUUAAAGGGUGCGUAGGCGGAAUAGUAAAUCAGUGGUGAAAACCUGCAGCUUAACUGCAGAACUGCCAUUGAUACUGCUAAUCUUGAGUACAUUUGAUGUGGGCGGAAUGUGUCAUGUAGCGGUGAAAUGCAUAGAUAUGACACAGAACACCGAUUGCGAAGGCAGCUCACAAAACUGUAACUGACGCUGAGACGCGAAAGCGUGGGGAGCAAACAGG